UGGUUCCGGCAUNGAUGAAGAACGCAGCGAAUUGCGAUAAGUAAUGCGAAUUGCAGAAUCCAGCGAGCCAUCGAAUCUUUGAACGCACAUUGCGCCCGCCGGUAUUCCGGCGGGCAUGCCUGUCCGAGCGUCAUUACGCCGCCCGAGCACCGCUCGGUGUUGGGACACUGCCGCGCCCCGGCAGGUCCCUAAGUCCAGUGGCAGGCCCCCCCGAGGCCCCGAGCGCAGUAGUCAUCUCCUCGCCCAGGGUGCCCGGAGGGGUCUCGCCCCCAAGCCUAUAGAACAUCAGGUUGACCUCGGAUCAGGUAGGAAUACCCGCUGA
RNAcentral lists this unclassified non-coding RNA (322 nucleotides) under uncultured fungus. RNAcentral describes it as "partial contains 5.8S ribosomal RNA and internal transcribed spacer 2". The stretch from base 1 to 133 matches the Rfam family "5.8S ribosomal RNA", at positions 22 to 154 of the family's 154-position model. Lineage: Eukaryota; Fungi. The record is from RNAcentral.